CCCCCUCGCCGAAAGACUAAGGUUUCCUGAUCAACGCUAAUCGGAUCAGGGUUAGUCGGGUCCUAAGGCUCAGCCGAACGGUGAGGCCGAUGGCAGAACAGGUUAAUAUUCCUGUACUACCUUUCAGAGUGACGUGGAGACGGAGCAGUGACAGCGCCGCGGACUGACGGAAUAGUCCGUUGAAGGGUGUAGAUAUUGAUCUUUGCAGGCAAAUCCACAAAGAGAGUCGAACCUGAUAGUAUACCAAUUCCUCCGGGAAACGGUAAUAGCGCGUGUAAGCAUACUCCCAAGAAAAUCCGCUAAACUUAAUCUUUAAGGUACCCGUACCGCAAACGGACACACGUAGUCGGGUUGAAUAUACUAAGGCGCUUGAGUGAUUCACGGUUAAGGAACUAGGCAAACUGACCCUGUAACUUCGGGAUAAAGGGUCCCAACGAGAGUUGGGCGCAGAGAAUAGGUCCAGGCAACUGUUUAACAAAAACACAGGGCUGUGCCAAAUUGAAAGAUCACGUAUACAGCCUGACACCUGCCCGGUGCUGGAAGGUUAAGAGGAGAUGUCAUCGCAAGAGAAGCAUUGAAUUGAAGCCCCAGUAAACGGCGGCCGUAACUAUAACGGUCCUAAGGUAGCGAAAUUCCUUGUCGGGUAAGUUCCGACCUGC
Molecule: ribosomal RNA, 659 nt
Filed under: Bacteroides caecimuris
Lineage: Bacteria; Pseudomonadati; Bacteroidota; Bacteroidia; Bacteroidales; Bacteroidaceae
Description: bacterial LSU rRNA
Rfam family: Bacterial large subunit ribosomal RNA
Source: RNAcentral